UCUGCAGGUUGAUAUUUAAGUCUUUUGUUAAACCUCCGGGCUCAACCCGGAAUCUGCAAAGGAAACUAUCUAUCUUGAGUAUGGUAGGGGUAAAGGGAAUUUCCAGUGGAGCGGUGAAAUGCGUAGAUAUUCGGAAGAACACCAGUGGCGAAGGCGUCACACUGGCUCAUUACUGACGCUGAGGCUCGAAAGCGUGGGGAGCAAACAG
This 208-nucleotide ribosomal RNA is filed under the name uncultured bacterium. Its description in RNAcentral is "partial 16S ribosomal RNA". It matches the Rfam family "Bacterial small subunit ribosomal RNA", at positions 568 to 775 of the family's 1533-position model. The record is from RNAcentral.